GCAGACUGUUUUUCAUUUGCUACCUGUAUCACCCAGGUUAAACUGUGCUGCUGCAGUCAGCUUGAGCAGCACUAUGUCACUGGGCCACAAGGAAGUUUCAGAAAUAUCUUCUUUUCCUGAGGUUAGAAAAAUUCUUCAAGCAAAGUGAGUGCUUCUGAGUGCGUUCAAAUCUUACUGGGAGCUGAGCACACACUGCUGACCUACAUACAGGGUACUGAGCAUCAUGGUAGCUAUGGAAUCAUGAACACGUCUGUGCAAGGCAGAGGAAUUGGUAAGUGUGCUUUCUUAAGCAAAGUGACUGCAGAAGUUGGUGCUGAAAAAGGGCUGUGAGACCCACUCAAAUUUGUUGGAGUGAACUGCUGUAUUUU
This is a non-coding RNA of Taeniopygia guttata (zebra finch), 368 nucleotides long. NCBI's taxonomy places the organism in Eukaryota, Metazoa, Chordata, Aves, Passeriformes, Estrildidae. The record is from RefSeq and is a predicted model, not a curated record.